GGACACAUCUCCUUGUUGUAAAUCAAUAAGCAAAUGCAAUACAGGGAAAGACAUACGGAUUGGAGAGUUGUACGGAGCUUUGCACAAGCAGAGCCCAGAAGCUGUUCGUUCAUUUCACGCGACCAGAAAAAAUUCCUGAUGGUGCUAUGACCCCGGUGCCCGGUUGGCACUUCCUGGUUUUCUGUUUCUGCUAUUCUGUUACCUGCUUGGUUAGCUUUGCAGGCUCCUCAGAGAACACAGAAACAGCUGAAACCAGGGUCCGAGCUCAGGAAACCUGGACUACAGCGCAGCAGGGUAAACCUGACAAAUAAACGCGACGGGGAACUCCGUCCCAAGCUGCUGAUCUAUGGAAUGAAGCAACACCUCAUCAAGAGAAGCAACCUGGGCAAACCAGGCCUGGUUUAACUGCACUUUCUCACGUUUGAUCAUUUUCUCAAGAGAUACGUGCGUGGUCCUCUGCAAUUCAGAAUGAAAUCUGAACUUCUGGAAAAACUCUCCUAGAGGGGGUUUGAGGACAAGAGGUAAGACCCAGGUCAGUCAGAUGCAAGGUGCCGCUCCCUACAGCAAAGUCAGCAUGUAGGCCCCCUGCAUUUCCAAUUGCCACAAAGAAGUUGCUUGGUACUUUGGAAGACUGAGGUGGGAGAAUCCCUUGAGCCCUGGAGUUUGAGACCAGCCUGGGCAAUACAGUGAGACCGCCUCUCAACAAAAAAUUUAAAAAUUAGCUGAGCAUGAUGGUGUGUGUCUGCAGUCCCAGCUGCUUGGGAGGCUGUGGCAGGAGGAGAUCGCUUGAGCCUGGGAGGUCCAGGCUGCAGUGGGCCAUGAUUGAACCACUGCACUCCAGCCUGGGUGACAGAGCAAGACCCUAUCUCAAAACAGAACAACAACAAUAACAAAAAAAGAAAUUGCAUGAAUGGCUUGACCAGGUGAUUUUUCCCUAGUCCCCCUUACUCUAUGAGCAUACAACAGGAUUCUUGAAUACAUUAGGGAACUUCUGGCCACAUUUGCCCUCUCUCACUUUAUCAGGAAACUGCUCAUCCCUACAAGAGUAAUAGCUGGAUUACAAAAAAUUCCGGGGUUAUUUAUGUUUUAAAAAGAGGUUGGGGGAGACAGGAAUAGAUAGAGCACGCUGCUAUAAAUAAAAAUCAUGUGCUUUUUCCCCAUCAGAAUUAAAUUGCAGUAAAUUUGGACUCCUUAAGCUUCCUCUACUUAGCCAAAGGAAAAAGAAAUAGAACAGGUACAGAAAGGUUGUUUAUGGUUGUUUCAGUUGUUACUGGUUACUGUAAAUAAUCUUUUUGCUUGCAAUCUGGGAACAUGUUGGCAAACCCCCUGCAGGUGACAAAAUGUUUUAUUGGGUAGAACUGGUGUGUUCUGGAAGGAGCCGAGAGAACUUUACAUGCAAAUUAUGCCCAUGCCUUGCCCCUAGCAGGUGCAAUUACUGCCAUGCCCACAUCCAUCACAGGCAUGGCUCUUCUUUUAAUAUUUUCAACUUGAUGUCUCCUAAUACAUUUUUCUUCUAAUACAUACAUAUAUACCUUGUCUAAUGGGAAGGGAAAGAGCAUUUUCAUCAAGGAGGGGGAGCUGGCCACAGGCAGCAAAAUGACAGGGAGAAAGACAGGAAAGAAGCUCCUUUAAAUUAGAAAGAAAUCUAAACCCUAACCCCUUCCAGCCCUCUCCAAAUAAUUAGUCAUUUCUAAACUCAGAUUACAUUGCCUGUGCUAGUAAAAGCUGAUUAGUGCUGGAAAGGGAUUUAAUGGAAUUUUGAGUCUUAUGGUUGCAGUGGGGGGGUUGGUGGGGGCUGGCAGAUCCUAAAAAUUGUAGAAAUAAUGAUGAACAUUUAAUAUAAGCCACAGUCUCAUAGACAGGUAAAAGGUGUAUAAAUAUAUGUAUAUAGAGAGACGUGAAUCAUUUUAUACCCUCCCUUUGCCCAAAAUGUAAAGCAUAAUGUGAGUCAACUGAAAGCCUGGUAUUUACCAAAAGUUGAUACACAAGGGCAGUUUUCAAUACAAUUUCCAUCCAAUUUCUGGGCCGGAAGCCCAGGAAAUUAAAAAAAAAUUAAAGGCACAUGUGGGUCUUCUCAGUGUGAAUGCCGGAUGGAAUUUUUAUUGAAUUUGGCCUCAACUGAUUGUAGCAUUAUAAGCAAUUCUGCAGUUAAGUUUCAGCAGCCAUUUAGAUGGCAAAUCCCUUUUUUAGGGUAUUAUAACUAAUAAUAAUAACUUCCUUUUUAUAUGGCACCUUUUAUAUCAAGCACUUUAAAGUGUGAGAUCAUCUUCCCAUUAUUAAGAUACCCCAUCUGUGUUGGAAUAUAGAAGCUAUUUCAUGCCAGUGACACCACAUAACAGUUAUUUGUUUGCAUGUUUAUUGUGUAGCAAAGGGAAAUGAAGAAAAAUAUCUACUAAACCCAAAGACUGAAAUUCUUAGGUAAAAGUAUAAAUUGGAAUAUAGCCAAGCUACUAAGUUAAACACAUCUUUUUCUAUAAAAGGGGUUAGGGAGUCUUAAUUUCCACAUAUGGAAAUAGAAGUCUUAUUGUUAUCACCAUGGUACUGAUCCAAAGUUCUAGUUUAUAUCUAGAUGCUGUGAUUAAAUUGUAGGGUGUAUGAUACUGUUAUAUUAUCUCCAUUGCUGGGGUGGAUGGCUCUGAGAGGUUUUUUGAGUCAGACUAAAGAGUAAUAAUAAGUUUUCAGCAUCCAAAUUGGAGUAAGGCAAUAAGGUUGUUACAGUAAGUGCAUAAUAGUGUCAAAAAUUCUUUAUAUGCAUUCAUAUAAAAUUGCUUAGCACUAUGACUGGAACUUAGCUCCACAUACUAAUCACAUAAUAACUAAUUCAGGUAUCGACUCAUUUCUUUUCUUCUCCAAAGACGUUUUCUGAAUUUCCUGUCUAUAAUAGCACUGCUGUCAUUCUCUUUACUUCAUAGAGCAAAUGGUUAUGUGACAAUUCUUUACAUGCCUUUUUUUAAUUAUUGCUGAUUUCCUUCACUACAAUGUAAGCUUCAUGAAGGUAGGGGCUUUGUUUUCUGUACUGUUGCAUUCAGAGCUCCCAGCACGAAUCUGACAUGUACAUAAUGGGUGUGCAGUAAAUGUAUAUUUCAUGAUUGAGGAACUUCCAAUAUGCCAGGCACUGUAUUAUUUGCUUAUUCUCGGCACUUUGCAAUCUUUACAACAACUUCAUGAAGAAACUACUGUUUUAUCACCUUUCUACAG
This 3198-nucleotide long non-coding RNA is filed under the name Homo sapiens (human). RNAcentral's name for it is "HSALNT0056284". Lineage: Eukaryota; Metazoa; Chordata; Mammalia; Primates; Hominidae. The record is from RNAcentral.